GGUAUAGCUCAGUGGUAGAGCACUUGCCUCACAUGCUUAAGGCCCUGGGUUUGAUCCCCAGAACCA
RNAcentral lists this transfer RNA (66 nucleotides) under Marmota monax (woodchuck). RNAcentral's name for it is "tRNA.Val". It matches the Rfam family "tRNA". Rfam says of the family: Transfer RNA (tRNA) molecules are approximately 80 nucleotides in length. The record is from RNAcentral. Lineage: Eukaryota; Metazoa; Chordata; Mammalia; Rodentia; Sciuridae.